CGGGCCAUGUGACGUAUUUUUAGUCAUAUGGUCCUAGUGAGAGUAACCCGCCGGCUAGGGAGUCUGGGAGUGUUAACUGGUUAUUUAACAGAGUAGAAGAUGAGAGAGAGACUGGGAUGUGUGAUGGAUGAGUGACAGGGAGAAGGGUGUAAUCUGUUUGACGUAAGGGUGACAGGCUGUGUGCGUCCGUGUGUACAUGUAUGUGGGUGGGUGUGGGUGACUGGGUGUGUGUGGUGGGUCAGUGUCCGUAUGUAUGUGUGUAUUACCCUUGUGAGACCCGCUCUGUGUGUAUGUGUGUGUGUGUGUGUGUGUGUAUAGGGAGGGAGAGACACGUGAGUAAAGAAGGGAGGAUGGGGGUCAGGAAAGAGGAGGAGGAGGAAGAGGGCUGACUGGGUGGAGCUCUUAAAGAUAGUAUUCAGAAAUUACGUGUUUUCUUGACGGCUUCGCUGAGUCACUGUGUUAGGGAAGAGGAAGAGGAGGAGGAUGAGGAUAUAGAAGUGAUGUAAGCAUAGUGUUGCCACGGUGACGGUGGUGGUGGGCAUGAUACAGAUGCGGGAGCUGGAGUUUGUGCCCAAUGGAGACAUGCAGCUGGACAAAUUCUGUUGCUCAUUGCUCAGACUGGAGUUUACAUGUAUACCUCCUUCACCAUCAUUGGUGGACACUUCACCAUGAGUGAUGCUUGAGCUGUCACGGUGCUGCUGCUGCUGUUGUCUGCCAUCAUCCCCCUGACACAGACCACCCUGCAGACCACCUUCAUCCUGGGUGCCACACGUCACUGCUGCUACAACUCAGAGCAACUGGAGCGCAAACCAGGAAGGGAAAUGUGUUGCCACGGUGACGGUGGUGGUGGGCAUGACACAGAUGCAGGAGGUGGAGUUUGUGCCCGAUGGAGACAUGCAGGUGGACAAAUUGUGUUGGUCAUUGGUCAGACUGGAGUUUACAUGUGUACCUCCUUCACCAUCAUUGGUGGACACUUCACCUUGAGUGAUGCUUGAGCUGUCACGGUGCUGCUGCUGCUGUUGUCUGCCAUCAUCCCCCUGACACAGACCACCCUGCAGACCACCUUCAUCCUGGGUGCCACACGUCACUGCUGCUACAACUCAGAGCAACUGGAGCGCAAACCAGGAAGGGAAAUGGUUACCUUCUUGUUGAUGUGCAAUCUUGCUAUGUGGGCGAUGAACACCUCUGAGACAUCACGAGCAGAUGCCCAUCCAGCACAGCUCAACUUGUAUGGAAUCUGGACCUGGACCAUCAUAUCAAUGCCACUGGCUUUGAUAUGUGUUUGAUAUGGCUUCUAUUGCUUUCAAGUGACCAUCUGCCUCUGUGAAAUAUGGAAGAUCUUACAAGCUCAAGCAUGAGUAUUAAGCAAGUUAUAGGAAUGCUAGUAUGAGUGUGGUGUGUCUGAAUUAGCUGUCAGAGUAUUGUAAAUAUUAUUACUUAGUCUUCCCAGUUAUGAAAUUAAGAACAGUUGUGAAGUUUGCUUUAAAACCCUUCAUUAACUUUGCCACAAAACACUUUUACAUGUUAUCAAAAGUGUGUAACUGUUAUGAUGUGUGCAUAUAUAUCAUUACUACAGAAGAAUCUGGAAUUUCCCCUCAGAUUACUUUAAUGAAUGAAGCUUGAGUUCACAGAUGUGUGGUUUGUAAAUUUCACCUGUAUUCUCUCCUCUAUGGCAGUCUGUUCUGGCAAAGUUUCAUUUGUCAAAAGCAUUACAGUUUGUAAAUGAUGUGUCUUCAUAUGCCUUCACUAGCAAUUAUGAAUUACAUUGUGGUCAUGGAUUUUGUUCUUUUAAUACAGUUGCCUCAAGAUAUUCUGAGCUUUACAAUGCUGUCUUUAGUACACUGCAAGAAAAUACAGAAAUUUCAUGUGGCAACAUUUAUUUUUAAAACAUUAUUUAUUACUUUUAAAAAUAGCAAUGUGGGGCUUCCUUAAUGCAAAUAGUCUUGCCCCAAAAAACUUGUGAUGUCAGACACUAACUUCUCUUAACACAGCACAACCAAAACCACUCAAAAUUAUACAUUAAUUUUUUUUAUAGAGCAACAUGUGUGGAAAGUGCUACCAGAAAUAUUUGCAUAACAAAUAUUUGGUUCUGGACCUUAGCACUUAUACAGUACUGCACUAACUUACACACAAGGUUAAUUAAUGAUGUAA
Scylla paramamosain (green mud crab) is the source of this 2151-nucleotide long non-coding RNA. RefSeq lists it as uncharacterized. Lineage: Eukaryota; Metazoa; Arthropoda; Malacostraca; Decapoda; Portunidae. The record is from RefSeq and is a predicted model, not a curated record. The transcript has 6 exons.